Molecule: ribosomal RNA, 499 nt
Filed under: uncultured bacterium
Lineage: Bacteria
Description: partial 16S ribosomal RNA
Rfam family: Bacterial small subunit ribosomal RNA
Source: RNAcentral
GACGAACGCUGGCGGCGUGCUUAACACAUGCAAGUCGAACGGGCCCGCUCUCUUUUUUGGAGGUGGGUUGCGUGGCGAACGGGUGAGUAUCACGUGAGUAACCUGCCCCCUGCUCCUGGAUAACUGCUUGAAAGGGCGGCUAAUACGGGGUGUGCCGGCUGGUCCGCAUGGGCCUGGUCGGGAUAGUUUCAUCUUCGGGUGUUUCGGCGGGGGAUGGGCUCGCGGCCUAUCAGCUUGUUGGUGGGGUGAUGGCCCACCAAGGCGGUGACGGGUAGCCGGCCUGAGAGGGUGGGCGGCCAGACUGGGAGUGAGACACGGCCCAGACUGCUGCGGGAGGCAGCAGGGGGGGGUAUUGCACAAUGGGCGGAAGCCUGAUGCAGCGACGUCGCGUGAGGGAUGGAGGCCUUCGGGUUGUGAACCUCUUUCUCCGGUGGUGAAGGCCCUGUCCGUUGCGGCGGGGUUGACGGUAGCCGGGUAUGAAGCGCCGGCUAACUACGUG